CCUACGGGUGGCAGCAGUGAGGAAUAUUGGUCAAUGGACGAGAGCCUGAACCAGCCAAGCCGCGUGAAGGACGAAUGCGCCAAGCGUUGUAAACUUCUUUUGUCUGGGAAUAAAAGGUUCCACGUGUGGCGUUUUGAGUGUACCCUAUGAAUAAGCAUCAGCUAACUCCGUGCCAGCAGACGCGGUAAUACGGAGGAUCCUAUCGUUAUCCGGAUUUAUUUGGUUUAAAGGGUGCAUAGGUGGAUCGUGAAGUCAGUUGGGAAAGUUUGCGGCUCAACCGUAGAAUGGCCGUUGAACCUGGCGGACUAGAGUAGAGGAGAGGUCGGCGGAAUGCGUGGUGUAGCGGUGAAAUGCUUAGAUAUCACGAAGAACUCCGAUUGAGAAGGCAGCGUACUGGACUGGAACUGACGCUGAGGCACGAAAGUGUGGGUAUCGAACAGGAUUAGAUACCCGUGUAGUC
This 460-nucleotide ribosomal RNA is filed under the name uncultured bacterium. RNAcentral describes it as "partial 16S ribosomal RNA". It matches the Rfam family "Bacterial small subunit ribosomal RNA", at positions 338 to 795 of the family's 1533-position model. The record is from RNAcentral.